This 468-nucleotide ribosomal RNA is filed under the name uncultured bacterium. Its description in RNAcentral is "partial 16S ribosomal RNA". It matches the Rfam family "Bacterial small subunit ribosomal RNA", at positions 28 to 507 of the family's 1533-position model. The record is from RNAcentral.
GACGAACGCUGGCGGCGUGCUUAACACAUGCAAGUCGAACGGAAAGGCCCUGCUUUUGUGGGGUGCUCGAGUGGCGAACGGGUGAGUAACACGUGAGUAACCUGCCCUUGACUUUGGGAUAACUUCAGGAAACUGGGGCUAAUACCGGAUAGGAGCUCCUGCUGCAUGGUGGGGGUUGGAAAGUUUCGGCGGUUGGGGAUGGACUCGCGGCUUAUCAGCUUGUUGGUGGGGUAGUGGCUUACCAAGGCUUUGACGGGUAGCCGGCCUGAGAGGGUGACCGGCCACAUUGGGACUGAGAUACGGCCCAGACUCCUACGGGAGGCAGCAGUGGGGAAUAUUGCACAAUGGGCGGAAGCCUGAUGCAGCCACGCCGCGUGGGGGAUGACGGCCUUCGGGUUGUAAACCGCUUUCGCCUGUGACGAAGCGUGAGUGACGGUAAUGGGUAAAGAAGCACCGGCUAACUACGUG